UACCUAGGAAUUUAGACACGGAACGCCCUUCAUAUCACGGAACGCCCCCCAGCACUAGUCACGGAACGCCCUCUGAUGUCAGUUUCGAGACGUCAUCAUUGUUUUUGUCGGAGUCCGGAGGAAUGGUGGACUUAGAAUAUAUCUUUCUAAAAGAGUUUCGAGGAAAGAAGAAGAGUUUGUGUUGGAAAUUAAGAUGGCAGUGAGUUUGUUGCAAGUUGUACUAGUAUUAGGAAAAUUGCCAGGUAGCUGGAAAGAACCACAGAAGAAGGUAAUGUAAAUAUAAAUGUGUGUUGCUAGUAUAAGACAAAAAACACACACAGAUAUCUCCUGUACUAACUAAUCACCUCUUCAUAUGAUCGAAUCUACACACACAGACUGACAGCCUGGACUGCUCAGGGUAAGUGGAGGACACUUUGCCAGGAGUCAGAUGUAAAUGUUGAUUUCAAAUAAUAACUUGCUUUUUUAUUUUGUAUGCUUUCUACAUUGCCACUGGAAGAGCAUUUGAUUUCAGUCAGGAAGACAUGCCAAAAAUUAGAAGAUGGUGGUGUCAUCUCUUACUUCGCAAAGCCAGCAUUAAAGCCAAGACUUCGGUCUUCACUUUCCACACGAGAAGAAGGACAAAGCAAGCUAGGUAU
This is a long non-coding RNA of Polypterus senegalus (gray bichir), 635 nucleotides long. RefSeq lists it as uncharacterized. The record is from RefSeq and is a predicted model, not a curated record. Lineage: Eukaryota; Metazoa; Chordata; Cladistia; Polypteriformes; Polypteridae. The transcript has 4 exons.